AACGAACGCUGGCGGCAUGCCUAACACAUGCAAGUCGAACGAAGCCUUCGGGCUUAGUGGCGCACGGGUGCGUAACGCGUGGGAAUCUGCCCCUUGCUUCGGAAUAACAGUUAGAAAUGACUGCUAAUACCGGAUGAAGUCUUCGGACCAAAGAUUUAUCGGCAAGGGAUGAGCCCGCGUAGGAUUAGGUAGUUGGUGGGGUAAAGGCCUACCAAGCCGACGAUCCUUAGCUGGUCUGAGAGGAUGAUCAGCCACACUGGGACUGAGACACGGCCCAGACUCCUACGGGAAGCAGCAGUGGGGAAUAUUGGAAAAUGGACGCAAGUCUGAUCCAGCAAUGCCGCGUGAGUGAUGAAGGCCUUAGGGUUGUAAAGCUCUUUUACCAGGGAUGAUAAUGACAGUACCUGGAGAAUAAGCUCCGGCUAACUCCGUG
Molecule: ribosomal RNA, 433 nt
Filed under: uncultured bacterium
Lineage: Bacteria
Description: partial 16S ribosomal RNA
Rfam family: Bacterial small subunit ribosomal RNA
Source: RNAcentral